AUGUCUAAUCCAAUCUUUUUUUGCAGAAUGAUAUUUAGCAUCUUUGUUGGCUUUUGAUACAUUAUAUUUAUUAUAUUAUAUAGAAAAGCCGUGCUUGGUCGACCAAGGGUAGAAUUAUUAUUUUACUCUGUCAUUUUAUUUUUCAUACGCUGCCUCCAUAUUCUAGAACCGUCCACACUUUCAUCUUCUUUCUUAACUCUCUCGCUUUCCCUUCAUCUUCUCGGCUUUGGGUUUUACCACAAUUUUUUCUUAAAUCUUCUUCCACAUCUUUUCAAUUCAUCCUCCUCUCUUUUUCAAUCUUCUGUUCAUUACUCUUUUUUUUAAUGGAUUUCUUCCUAUUUUAUCAGCUUCUUGCUUGAAGUAUCUAUAUUUAUGGGUCUUCUACUUUGGAUAUUACAAGGUUCGGGUUAGUGUGUGAGCUAUUUUCUGUUUCAGUCUUUCUUCUAUUUUGUUUCAUUUUUUGUCUGUUAUUAUCCUUUGUUUGUUGUUAUUUAUUUUGGAUUUUCUUUUGUGCAUUUUGUUUCUUCUUUGUAUCUCAUGUUUAGUUUUUGUCUUCAUAUGCAGACUCUAUCAAUAUAAUACUUCUGCUUUCAUUUGUGGUCUAAGCUGACGGGGUUAAAUUUUUAGUUAAAUUUGAUUUAAGUUUCUUUUCAUUUGGUUUUCUUGCUUUUUCUUUCUGCCUCUUCUUGGUAGAAAAACACUACCAAUGGAACUGAGUUUAAUAUGGAGCAUGUGGGUUCUGCUACCUGAAGCUUGAGUUAGUUUUAAUUGGGUUUUGUUAUAUUUUUAGGUUUGUACUCAAAAGAUAGAAAAAUAUUUACUUGCCAUGGUAUUGAAAAACUCGACGCACCUUCCCCAUCACUUUCAGAAAGACUGAUUAUUCAUCAAAGAGAAGUUUAAGGAAGUCAUCCUUUUAAAGAAGUCUGAUGACUGAGGAGCAAGCUCUCAUGAUGGAGAUCAGGAAGAAUAUAAAGUAGCAGAUGUUUCCUGCAAUGUGCAAAUCCUUGCAAUACUCUAUAUGGCUCUUAACUUGACUACCUAAUUUCUAUUGUUCAUAGGUGGUAUAGCUUUGAUAGCAACAUAAUACGUUUGGUUAAUCAUGUGGUAUAUAAUGAUAGGUAGGAAAUGAACAAUUAGUCAUAUGCUUGGAUUUGGUUUUGUAAAUGAUUUUAAAAGAAAAGCACAACAAAAUGAAAUAUCUGCUCGGUUCUACACACGCCGGCCCCCUGGGGGAGGUAAAUAUGGUUUUCUAUGUCUCACUAUUUACUGAGAACGGAACUGUCUUUUUGUUUGUGA
Molecule: long non-coding RNA, 1296 nt
Organism: Nicotiana tabacum (common tobacco)
Lineage: Eukaryota; Viridiplantae; Streptophyta; Magnoliopsida; Solanales; Solanaceae
Source: RefSeq, a predicted model, not a curated record